RNAcentral lists this ribosomal RNA (468 nucleotides) under uncultured bacterium. Its description in RNAcentral is "partial 16S ribosomal RNA". It matches the Rfam family "Bacterial small subunit ribosomal RNA", at positions 28 to 507 of the family's 1533-position model. The record is from RNAcentral.
GACGAACGCUGGCGGCGUGCUUAACACAUGCAAGUCGAGCGGAAAGGCCCUGCUUUUGUGGGGUGCUCGAGUGGCGAACGGGUGAGUAACACGUGAGUAACCUGCCCUUGACUUUGGGAUAACUUCAGGAAACUGGGGCUAAUACCGGAUAGGAGCUCCUGCUGCAUGGUGGGGGUUGGAAAGUUUCGGCGGUUGGGGAUGGACUCGCGGCUUAUCAGCUUGUUGGUGGGGUAGUGGCUUACCAAGGCUUUGACGGGUAGCCGGCCUGAGAGGGUGACCGGCCACAUUGGGACUGAGAUACGGCCCAGACGCCUACGGGAGGCAGCAGUGGGGAAUAUUGCACAAUGGGCGGAAGCCUGAUGCAGCAACGCCGCGUGCGGGAUGACGGCCUUCGGGUUGUAAACCGCUUUCGCCUGUGACGAAGCGUGAGUGACGGUAAUGGGUAAAGAAGCACCGGCUAACUACGUG